UGAUGACGAGACGCUAAGGCGUUGAAGCAGUGUAUGUCAGACUUCCAAGAAAAGCUCGCAAUGUCACAAAUGAAAAAUGCCUGUACCAUAACCGACACAGGUGGUAGGUAGAGUAUACUAAGGGGCGCGAGAUAACUCUCUCUAAGGAACUCGGCAAAAUGACUCCGUAACUUCGGGAGAAGGAGUGCCUUAUUUAUAAGGUUGCAAUAACAAGAUCCAAGCAACUGUUUAUCAAAAACACAGGUCUCCGCUAAGUCGUAAGACGAUGUAUGGGGGCUGACGCCUGCCCAGUGCCAGAAGGUUAAAGAAGUUGGUUAGUGUAUGCGAAGCUGAUGACUGAAGCCCUGGUGAACGGCGGCCGUAACAAUAACGGUCCUAAGGUAGCGAAAUUCCUUGUCGGGUAAGUUCCGACCCGCACGAAAGGCGUAAUGAUUUGGAUACUGUCUCGGAGAGAGGCUCGGUGAAAUAGACUUGUCUGUGAAGAUGCGGACUACCUGCACCAGGACAGAAAGACCCUAUGAAGCUUUACUGUAACUUGAAAUUGGAAUUGGACUUUGCUUGCGCAGUAUAGGUGGGAAGCGUUGAAAAUAUUCUUGCGGGAGUAUUGGAGCUAUCAGUGAGAUACCACUCUUGUAAUGUUAGAUUUCUAACUUUGAACCAUAAUCUGGUCAAAGAACAGUUUCAGGUGGGCAGUUUGACUGGGGCGGUCGCCUCCCAAAUGGUAACGGAGGCGUACAAAGGUUUCCUCUGAACGGAUAGAAAUCGUAUCUAGAGUGUAAAGGCAUAAGGAAGCUUGACUGUGAGACCUACAAGUCGAGCAGGGACGAAAGUCGGUCUUAGUGAUCUGACGGUACUGAGUGGAAAGGCCGUCACUCAACGGAUAAAAGUUACUCUAAGGAUAACAGGCUGAUCUCCCCCAAGAGUUCACAUCGACGGGGAGGUUUGGCACCUCGAUGUCGGCUCAUCGCAUCCUGGGGCGGUAGUACGUCCCAAGGGUUGGGCUGUUCGCCCAUGAAAGCGGUACGCGAGCUGGGUUCAGAACGUCGUGAGACAGUUCGGUCCAUAUCCGGUGUAGGCGCUAGAAUAUUGAGAGGAGCCUUCUUUAGUACGAGAGGACCGAGAAGGACACACCGCUGGUGUACCAGUUAUCGUGCCAACGGUAAACGCUGGGUAGCUAUGUGUGGAGUGGAUAACCGCUGAAAGCAUCUAAGUGGGAAGCCCACCUCGAGAUGAGUAUUCAC
This 1241-nucleotide ribosomal RNA is filed under the name metagenome. Its description in RNAcentral is "bacterial LSU rRNA". It matches the Rfam family "Bacterial large subunit ribosomal RNA", at positions 1564 to 2815 of the family's 2925-position model. The record is from RNAcentral.